RNAcentral lists this transfer RNA (87 nucleotides) under Gemmatimonadota bacterium. Its description in RNAcentral is "Gemmatimonadetes bacterium tRNA-Leu". RNAcentral also lists the same sequence under 1 other name. The record is from RNAcentral. Lineage: Bacteria; Pseudomonadati; Gemmatimonadota.
GCCGAAGUGGUGGAAAUGGUAGACACGCUGUGUUGAGGGCGCAGUGGGCGCAUGCCCGUCCGAGUUCGAGUCUCGGCUUCGGCACCA